Molecule: long non-coding RNA, 4854 nt
Filed under: Sus scrofa (pig)
Lineage: Eukaryota; Metazoa; Chordata; Mammalia; Artiodactyla; Suidae
Description: lncRNA (ENSSSCG00000059649.1)
Source: RNAcentral
GACAGCAGGUCAGAUUUGGCCCACAGGUUGUGGUUUACUAACCCUUAAUUCUAAUGCAUCAGAAAAGGCCCACUUCCUGUUUUCAGUGGGAGUAAAUGUAGAUCUUGCGUGGGCACUUUGGGUCUCUUUAUAGCCAGGGGAGAUGCGGUGACACACACACAGGUCCAUCCAACACAUGGCCACUGUUUGUACAUCAGGGUGGGAGGGGUGCUGUCUCCAGGCUGCCACGGUACCUGAAGAUACACUUUUAGGAAUGUUGCUGCCUCUAGAUAAGAGAAAGGUGCUUACUGUCAGGGACAUGAAGCUGAGUUAUCUUUCUGAGUCCUGCACCCACCAUGACACUAGUGCAUUUUAGGUCAAGCUGAGAGACCAUAUAUUAGUGUGAACCUGGGAGAAAGACAGUAGCCAGGAAAGAUCACGAGCGGUCAAGGAAAGGAUUUCUAAUGUUAGCUCUUGAAUGUUUUCAUUUUUUUUAGUGUAUUUAUCAGGCUCUUUCACACACACAUUAGUUGACUUAUUCCUUAAAACCCCAUACAGUAUCAUUGACUUUGCCAAGGAGACUACAGUCUGGAGAGCUGUAGGGUUUGCUUCUGGUCCCAUGGCCUUCACUUGGCAGGGCCAAGACUCAGGUACAGGGAUUUUAUCCAAAGUUUAUUUGUUCUUUCAUUCAGCAAACCAGUUUGGAGGGCACCAAAGGUCAGGCGAUGUGCUGGGCAGGAGAAAUUUGAAGGUGAAUAAGACCUGGUUCUUGUCCUGUGGGGAUGCCAUGUAGCUGGGUUUCUCGAGCCUGCGGUCACAUCACCUUCCCUGGCAGUUCUCUACAGUGACAGUUCUUAGGCCCAGUUUCCAGGCUACAUCUGGAUCUGCAGUCGGGGCAAACACCCUAUGGGACAAACACCUUAGGCUGAGCACCCUCCUUCACCUGACCAUCCAACAGGUUCCUUCUGGUGUGAGCCAAAGCUCUGGCUCUCCUGGCCCCGCCCUUCCUCAAGGCCCCGCCCUUCAAGGCCCCGCCCAUUUUCCUGGCCCUGCAGCAGAGGCUCCGCCUGCAGUCUUCUGGUUGGCUCUGCCAUCUCCAUCCUAGGGGUGAGCUGCGGGGUGGUGGGUGGGGAGACACGCCCCUUUGCCUGGCCGCACAGCUCAGAGCCUAGGUGAGGCGUUUUUCUUUUUAGACAGAGGGCUUCUGCCUCAUUUUCGUUUUUUUAAAAACCUCCGUUAGCUGUGGUUUUUCUUUAAUACUUAGAUUUUAAUCGUUGAUUACUUCAAAUGGGCUUUGGAAUUAUUUAUUUUGCUUUUGAUGACUCUGUCUUCUGAUCUAAAGUAUUAAAUCCCUUGCUGUUUCGGGAUUUACAGCCUGGCUACUCUAAGUUCACAAAGCUUUUUCAUUAAAGGCUUCUCUCCUCUGCCAAUAUUUAUUGCUAGAGUCACUGUUUGCCCAGAAGCUAAUGUCUGCUGCAUCUUCUGGGAAAUGAAAUUUAUGUCUCCUGGCACUGAUGGGAGGGGUGACAUCACUGAAGUACUAAUUACAUCACCAAGGGGCAUAAACCUUGAGCUCAAGCCUCCAAUGGAUGGCAAAGGUGGGGAGUGGGAUCAAACAGUGGGUUUACAUAAACAAAUGGGUCUACCUCCCCCCCACCAUUCCUCUCACCACUUGUAUUGACAGUAUCAUUAUGCAAUUGAUGAGUAUCAACAUUGACACCCCUUCUUAGAACAAGUAUGGGGGGGCUGGGGAGGGUGGUGUGGAGGGAUGGGCAGGAGUGGGAUGCCCAGGUUUCAUGCGGAGGGUGUCUGCUCAAAGAGUAACAACCGUGCCUUCCCUUUGCAGCAAGUCACCCUCGUACAAACCAUGUAACAUAAGAUUUGCUAUCCUCCACUGACAGGUGAGCUAACUAAGGGACAGGGACUCAGUUUUGCGAGCCCCUAGAUGAAGUAGGGUUUGAGCCCAGCUUUUCUGACCCAAGGCUCUGUCCUCUGCACCCAUGAUCUCCUGGUUGGCGGCAUGUGCCUCGAUAAGGGUAGGUGGGGCUCUCAGCCCCAGCCUCUCUCCAUCUGUCCUAGCUGAAAGUUAUCUCCAGUCUCCAAGGCAAGCUGGCCCAGGAGAGAGAGAGACAGAAAAUGCUUGGGCAGUGGUUUGCUGGGGACAUGUAUCCUGCGCCCACUCUCUUCUCUCAUUCCCUAUUUAGCCAGUUUUCUCCCAGUGCGUCAUGUCUAUUUUCUCCAAGAAACGUUGGUGCCGUCUCCACUUUCUCACCUCCCAUUCGGUCUUCAGCCCGCUGCAUUCUCUUCCUCUCCCCUUCUCCUCUCUACACCCGAAUUGACCAAUCAUCUCCCAACUGCCCAGUUCAGUGCACAGUUUUGGGUUCAAGGCUGACGUCAAGGACAUGGAAUAAAGACAUUUGCAGAGGGACCCUGCACUCAAAAGAGUCCCAACCUUGGUUUAAUGCUCCACUGUUGCUGUCUUGAAAUUCUUUAUAAACUUUGAGUAGGGAUUCUUAAUUUGUCAUUUUGCACUGGAUCCUGCGAAUUAUGUAGCUGAUCCUGUCUGGGUCCUUUAAAAAACAUAAGGUCUGUAAUAGACAUCAUUCAUUGUCUACUCCACACGCAUUCUUCCUCUUUCCCUCCAACAAAAUCCCUUUUUUUUUUUAAGUCAUUGGAGCCCCCUUGAUCACAGGCAGCGGCCCUUCCUCAGCUGCAGAGAAUGAGUCUAAUUAAAACACAAAAUAUUUCCAGCUUAAACUGGUUUUGUCCACUUAAAUAUGUUGUUGAUUAGUCAAACCUGGAGGUUUGUAGACACAGCAUGGCGCAUGUGCAAUAUGGGAACCCAUCCUUCCAGGACGACCCAGAACUGAGAGUUUUUGGUCUAUGGAACUGAGAAGAAUUGUUGCUACCAGUCCUUUCCGAAGUGAGCAGUCCUUAAAUGAGGAAAAUCUGGCUUCCAGAAGCACAAGUAGCUCAUAUGGACUAAUUCAAGAUUAGCCAAUCGGCUUCCAAGUUUGACAUUCUCCUAACCUCUUAAAAAUCCCUCCAACACUGCGUCGCAUAGAUAGGUUUGAGAGCUUUGCUUCGGUCUCUUUGUCCAGCCUCGUGAUAAAGUCCUUUUCUCAAAAGCUAGUACCAUAUUGGCUUCUAUGCACAUCAGGUGGCAAGCCAUUUGCUGGUUAAGAGAUGCUCAAGACUUUUGCUCAGGAAUAGAUGGAACAGUGACUCUGUGGCCUAGAUCUCAUCAAAGAAAGGAAAGUAAAAGCUUCUUCUGGGAAAGUUGCGUUCCUGAAAAAAUAUGAACAGACUCAGCUGGACUGCUCCUUAACCUUUCACUUAUACUCCCUCCUUCUGCUAUGGAUGUGGACACAAUACCUGGAGGUGCAGCAGCCGUCUUGUGACACAAGAAGAGACUCCAACACAUUGUGAAUGGCAGAGAGAAAGGAGCUGGCUCUUUUUCUUUUUUACUUCCAAUUAACUGUUUUGUAAUUGCAGUGACUUCUCGGCAAUGUUUUACACAAAUUCUGUUUGCUCCACUUAUGACAUUCUUUGGCUUUCUUAGCGCCAUGUUGGCAGACUUUCUGAUUCCUUCUCAUGUUCCUCUCCUUAGCUGAGUCCUUGACGGUGGAGUUUGGCAGGAUUUAGUGGUUCAUUCUUUUGUCCAUUGUGAGCUAUUUUCUGAGUACUCUUGUGCUAAGGGCAGCAGAUGCAGCCAUGGAGAUAGAUGUGGUCCUUGCCUUCAUGAAGCUUCCAUUCUAGUCUAGCCCACUUCCCCAACUGCUGUCUACAACUACUGUCCACACUUCUGGAAAAUCUCAUUUACUUCCUCGGCUUUACCACGUGGGGCUGUUCUAUUCUGAUGCAAGACUUCACGCUGAGUUAUCCAGCUAAUCAACAGUCAACAGAUCUCCUAGAAAAAAAGAAGAAGAAGAAGCUGAACUGCUUUUGGUGAGUCAGUCAUGAGAGAAUUUUUUACUUCGUCUUCCCAGCCAAGAUAUAAAGAGCAGACAUAAAAGAGUUGGCCACCUUUUCUCAUACCUAAGCACCAACUUUAUUUUUCUGCAGCACUCACACGUGUUAGGGGAUUCUAGGGCAGUAAACUCCCCUGACAGAAUCCUGCCAUAUGUGGAGAUUUUCUUUUCUUUCCCAUAAAAGGUGUUGAAAGUUCCCAUCAGGUUUAACAGUUAUUGGACUCUCAGUACUGCCAGCCCCUCACCCCAGCACAGACUGCGACAGAAAAUGAGAGGCACUAGGAAGUGAAAAUGUGUCAGAUUCCCCCAGAUCACUAGGGAAGGAAGGCUGCUACUAUUGAUAAUAGCCUUUUAAAAAAAAAUGCUUCAUGUGGGAAAAGUUUAAAAUGAAAAAGCUAAGAAUAAAAUGGCAACACACUAAUUUAACUUAUGAGGAUGUUAGUGGGGGAUUUGACCUAAGGCUAUAGUUCAAGUGACAGAGGUCCAUAGAUAUAGGUCGUUUAUUUUAAAAAUGGGGAAAACAUUAUUGGUUGCUAUCCGUGUAAUUCACUGCGUUCUUAAAGGAGAAACACUAUGUGAUCAUCUUGAUAGAUGCCUGAAAAGUACUUGUUAAACUCAAUGACCAUUCCUAAUAAAUAUACUUAGCCAGGAAUAAAAGGAAAGCCCUUAAUUUAUAAAGGAUAUAUAAAAACCCCACAACAGGGGAGUUCCUGCAGUGGCACAGUGGGUUAAUGAUCUGGCUUGUCUCUGUGGUAUUGCUGGUUUGAUCCCCAGCCUAGCACAGUGGGUUAAGGAUCCAGUGUUGCUACCGCUGUGGCACAGGUCACACAUGCCGCUCAGAUUUGAUCCCUGGCCCAGGAACUUCCAUAUGCCUUCCACGUGCCAUGGGUGCGGCCAAAAAAAA